Homo sapiens (human) is the source of this 1592-nucleotide long non-coding RNA. Ensembl annotates it as long intergenic non-protein coding RNA 2685. The record is from Ensembl. Lineage: Eukaryota; Metazoa; Chordata; Mammalia; Primates; Hominidae.
AGUCCGAGGCCCAUUAGGAGCACAGUGAACAGCAGCCCAGGCGAGCCCAGGGAGGCAAGAAAAUGAGGCUCCCCGUGAGGUCUAAUAAACACCUCUCGCCACACCCCAAACACAUAGACACGCAAUAGAGCCCAUAGGUCCUGAGUGAGUCCCCCUGGCCCACCCCAUUCAGCUGAGAUCUGACAACAUAUGUUUGGGGACAAACAGCCCCAGCAGCCAGGAGCAGGCCACAUCAUACAUAGUCAGCAUCAGCCAUGGUCCCCUCCCACUCUCCUGGGGGAAAAAGGUGCUUUACAGGCAGCGUGGCAUCCGAGCAUCCCCAUGGCGAUGCUGAGGUCAGACCUCACUGUGGUGAUCUCACGCUGGGGCCACCGGACUCAGGCCAGGCUGGGAGUAGGCUGUCUAGCCAUUGCUGGCUGUCAUUGUCACCAAGGGAAGGGGAGAAGCUGUGAAGAGUUGCUCUGGAAAAAACAAAUCUGCUCAUAGGACAAUGGGUCUGGGUGAACCUAUCCCGGCCCUCUUGGCUGCUGGGCCAGGGCCUGGUUUUUCACAGGGCACCAUUGAGACCACAGGAAGUGGCUUCCUGCCUCUGAAGACAGCACACAACUGCCCUAGAAAGCGCUCUUGUCACCCCUGCUGGCUGAGCCAGACUCCAGGCAGCCUCCAGCCACCCGUGCCUCCGGUUCACCCCUGCCUGCCUGCCCGCCUGCUGCUGUCCUCAGCCAAGCCCUUCUGCAUUCCCCGGCUCGAGGCCCCACUGUACUACCUGCCUAGUUGGGACACUUUUGCAGGAGGGACUGUCGCCUUUCUUUUGCUGGACUUUUAUUUUUUUGAGACAGAGUCUUGCUCUGUUGCCCAGGCUGGAGUGCAAUUGCACAAUCUCGGCUCAUUGCAAGCUCCGCCUCCCAGGUUCAAGUGAUUCUCCUGCCUCAGCCUCCCUAGUUGCUAAGACUACAGGGUAGAGAAUCAGAGGCUUGUAGAUGUCUUUGCCACUUCCACGGGAUCUCUGGGAGCUGGAAACUGAGCUUUAAGAAAUAACUAUAGUGCAAAGGGAACUAAGGGAAAAGGGUUCAGCCCAAAGCAGAAGGGACUGUGAUGAUCACAGUGACCUCCUGAGGCCAGCAUGGUGGUAGCAGCCAGAGACAGCAGCUGAGUGAGACCCUAAGGGAGGGAUGAGCCAGGCAGUGUGUGGUUGGAGUUCUCCCUACACAUCUCGUUUUCCUCACCUCCAGAUCACACACAUGCACACACACAUAUGCACCCACACACCCCUUACACACUCCGGCCCGAAGGUUUCUGCAGGACUCCUUCCUGGCACUCUCUCCAGUGCUGCCAGCGUCGCACCACACUGCAAGGCUUUGCAAACUUUCCUUCCAAAGUGAAGGAGACCCUCUGGCCAUCUGAGGCUCGGUCUGAAGCAACAGCCUCAGAGCGCAAUCUCAGGCAUGCAGGAAGUGCAGGAAGGCCACGUGCCACAUACGUUAUCUCACUUAAUCUCAUUAGCAGGAAAUGUCUUUAAAGUCUUAUGUUGGUGCUUAAAAAUUCCUGAGCAGUUUAGCCCUUAAUAAAGCCAGGCUUUUUAAAAUUUGAAA